Molecule: ribosomal RNA, 264 nt
Filed under: uncultured bacterium
Lineage: Bacteria
Description: partial 16S ribosomal RNA
Rfam family: Bacterial small subunit ribosomal RNA
Source: RNAcentral
UACGAAGGGGGGCUAGCGUUGUUCGGAAUCACUGGGCGUAAAGCGCACGUAGGCGGAUCUUUUAAAGUCAGAGGUGAAAUCCCAAGGCUCAACCUUGGAACUGCCUUUGAUACUGGGGAUCUUGAGUCCGGGAGAGGUGAGUGGAACUGCGAGUGUAGAGGUGAAAAUUCGUAGAUAUUCGCAAAGAACACCCAGUGGCGAAGGCGGCUCACUGGCCCGGUACUGACGCUGAGGGUGCGAAAAGCGUGGGGGAGCAAAACAGGG